UCAAGGCCAAAUUUCAUUUUUCUUUGAUGGCCACGCUUGUCCUUUGGGUUAUUGAGGUACUGUUAUAGUUUAAGAUAAAGUGUUAGUUCUUUUUCGUCGGCAUUCCUUCGUUUCAUUCCCUAUAUAUUUACGUUUCUUAAACCCUAAUUUCAUUCGUCAAAUUACAAACCAUAGCCGACAUCUAUACUUCCUAUUUCACUGAAAUCAUACGCUACAAACUCCUUCAAACUUUCUUGAAAAUCUCGCAUCAAAUUGUGAUUCGUCUUGUCUCAGCCGUAAUAGACUCGGUCCUUUACAAUCUCUAAGUUUUGGAAUUGAAGUCGACCCGUCGACUGCUCGUGCUUCGGAGUCUACGCAGGGUUAGCUGUUUGUCAAGAUCACGUGGAUAAGCAAGCUGUUUAUGAUUUGAAAGCUGGUCCACUCCGAUUCUUUUGAUUCUUCGGAGGUUUUUGUGUUAUUUAAACUAGUUACUGUUUUUGAACUCUUAGACCGCAGUAGAGCUAGUUAUUAUAUAUUAUAUUGAUAUUACACAUUGGGAUUAUCAAUUUGAUCGAUUAUUUAUUAUUAGCAUGUUUACUCUGGAUUAUUUUAAUAUUAUAUUUAAGGCAUGCUGUUGAGCAUUUUUGGAUAUUUAACUUAUUUAUAUUAGAACUGUAAUAUAAAUUGCUAGACUUAGGUUGGAGUCUCGGUUGCCCCCGAGCAGUUUUUUGUAGUUUUAAAUGUUUAAUUGUUUUCCGCAAGGCUUGCUACGGGUUUUGGUACGACCAUACCCAUACCCUAGCGCCGGUCCCGAUCCAUGAAAUUGGGUCGUGACAAAGUUGGUAUCAGAGCUUUAGUUUCGAACUAAGGCCAAAUUUUUGCAUGUUGCGUGUUUAUCGCUUUAAGGCAUGUUAAGUGUUAUAGUUAUGUCAUAGGAUCUACUGCGGAAUUAGGAUUCAAGUUUUGUCUUUUGAAACGUCAUCAUUUGUUUUUAAAACUUUCUGCCUGCACCGAUAGGAUUGCGUCAAGUCAGUCAUUAAUUAUGCUUUGAUUUGAUGUUUUUAUUUUACUAUAUUGAUGUUAUUUCACUUGGGUGAAUUAAUUGCUUAUGAUUUCUCGGGAAAUCUUAUGUUGGUAAUUUUCUUUAUGUCAUACUUGAGUAUGAUGUAAAUUGCCUUAUCUUUGUGAUGUUGCUUUUCAUUUGGGUAAUACAUUUUGGUUGUUAUACUUUAAGGAUGUUGAUGUUAAAUUAUUUUGUCGGUACUUCUGGUUUUUGCCGUGAACUUCGAUUUCAAAAAUUUAUAUUUGUUAGGCUUUGACAUUGUUUUGGGUUAAAUGAUUUUUGACCGAAAAAUCUUUUUCACGUUUUGUGAAUUGCGUUGUUGGCACUUAUUGGUUUUAAAUUAUCUUAAUAUUAUUUUUUUCUAACUAGUGUUUGACAUAAAAAGGUCAAAUGGGUAGUCUGAACACGACACCCUAAAAUAUUAUUUUCAAUAUCUUGCCAGUAAAAUGAAAUCCGUUUAUUUCAAAGUUUUACAUUUGACUAAGGAUUGAAUAAGGGUUAUUAUUUUGAAACAAAAUAAAAUUCUUGUAUUUUAAAAAUUAAAAUGUUACGUCUAGCUUGGUGUUUUCAAAAUGAUUGUUUUGAAAUAAUUUUUCAAGGCGAUACCGAUUUGAUAAUUUAACAUAAUUUUGUAAUUUUACCAUAUUUCGAUUUGUCAACACUUUGGUGUUGUUGGUCUUAUGCUUGAUUUACUAAUUUUGGUUGAAGCAAGUAUUUCUGAAAAGAUUGUUAAAGAAUAAUUGUUUUUCCACUUGCGAGAUUAGUUGAUGUUAUUACUUUGGGUGACGUCGAGCUACCUAUUUUGAAAAUAAUGAGAUUUAUGUUCAAAAGGUUUUUUUUUGGAUUUUAAAAUGUGUUGCAUAUGUUUCAUAAAUGGAUAUUAUGGGUUUGACUUGGGUCACCUAAACUUGGAGUUGAGCUUGGAAGUGGUAAUCACUCGGCUAACUCGAUGAUUUUAAAUUGAGGCGUUUGUGAACAAUUUUAUCUAUUAUUUUAUAAAGAGGUCUUCCGGAAAAUGAUUUUUAAAACUAUGGGGCUCGACAUGAACUUGAAAUCUAUUUUGUAAAUCUUAUCUUUCGAAGUGGGUUUUGAUAAGUACUUUAUGACCAAUAUCUUUAUUAUUUUAAUUUAAGCUGAUGUGUUCAAAAUGUUAUUGUAUGAUUUAAAUUUUCAUCAAUUACGGGUUGUAUUGAGUUGUCACCAUGUCGGUAGGAAUUCAAGGAUCAUAUAAGAUGUUGUGUGCUUAACUUUUUGAAAUUAUUUUUGUUAUCUACCCUAAUGAGUAGUUGUCUUACUGCAAGAUGUUUUAGUGCUUUUCGGUUUGUGUGAUUAAUUUUUGAUCUAUAUUACUAUGUUAUUAUUAUUGUAUCUCGUGCUUGAUUAAAUUAAGCCAUAUCUGUUUUUUUUUCCUCGUUGACAUCAUUGUGUGGAGUAACACGUGAGAGUAUUCCUUGCUAGUUUUCUUUAGCUUAAUUUUGGUAUUGGUGUCGAUGUGCGAUUCGAACCUUCGUUUUCUUUUACCCUGCGAUUAGUUUUGAUGUUAUAAUUGUUUUAGCCGGAUCUAGCGUUUGACCCUGGAAAUCGAAGUGAUUAAUUUUCUUAUCAAUAAAUUUGAGGAGCGAUUCUCAAGAGCUAUUCGCUGAUUCGAAUCCCGAAACUGUCCUGGUCGGAGGAAGGCAAAUUAAUUAUAUUACUCAACACCGGUGGAAUAAUUCUUCUCGUGUGGGUUUACCUCGUGCGUGAAAUUUUGAACGUUAUGUGUUUCUACGUCGGACUCGUUUGUGAUAAUUUGUUGUAGUUGAAAGUUCAGCUGUGAGUGUUCUAGAAUUAGAUAUGGAAUCUCUGAAUCGAGGUUGAUCAGUGUAGUAAUACAAUAGUGUUCUUUAGAUAGAUCGGUGAAAUACCAAAACUGGAGCUGUGAAGACGGCCGUGUUGCCUUGAUGCAUUUGAAUUUUUUUUUUCCAAUUUGAUUUGAGGGGGAAUUCGUUGUUAGGUAAAUUUUAGUUUCGUUGUUUAUUUGGUUAUUACGUUUUGACAAUUCAAAUUGGUGGACUAGGAUAAUGGAGAUGAGCAAAUAUGUCAAGAUGGACGAGUGCACGUCUCACAGAGUGUAAUGUCUAGAAAAUAUUUCGAAGGAAAAUUGAUUUCAAAAGUUAACUUGUUAAAGUAAUUGAAAUGUUUUUAUCACGUAAUUGUGCCCAGACAUAUCAUGAGCAUUCAUUUAAAAUGCCACGAAUAGGAAACUGCAUUGAGCAUUGAGUAUGAUCAAUAAUUAAAAAAAGAAAUAAAUAAUUGAUACAUGCAUUUAGAGCAUUCAUCACGGCAUUAAAUGGUUAGGGUUGAAUGCAACUCUUUGGGGAUGAGAGCUGUAAUCACCCUGGCGCACAAUUAUGUAAAAUAAAUUUUAUCAGUAAGGCUUUUCAAGAAAAAUGUUUUGUUAUAAACUCGCGAGUUACAUUGUGAAAAUGGUGUUUAAAAAGUUGA
Long non-coding RNA from Mercurialis annua (annual mercury), 3526 nucleotides. RefSeq lists it as uncharacterized. The transcript is spliced from 4 exons. Lineage: Eukaryota; Viridiplantae; Streptophyta; Magnoliopsida; Malpighiales; Euphorbiaceae. The record is from RefSeq and is a predicted model, not a curated record.